AUAUCUCUCUGUACGGGAAGGAUGAGAAGCUUCGACUAAGGUUCGAUUCGAGCGAAAGCGAGA
This 63-nucleotide small RNA is filed under the name Salmonella enterica. RNAcentral describes it as "partial RtT sRNA". It matches the Rfam family "RtT RNA", at positions 1 to 62 of the family's 130-position model. Rfam says of the family: This family represents a bacterial cis-regulatory element known as RtT RNA. The record is from RNAcentral. Lineage: Bacteria; Pseudomonadati; Pseudomonadota; Gammaproteobacteria; Enterobacterales; Enterobacteriaceae. RNAcentral also lists the same sequence under 1 other name.